Molecule: ribosomal RNA, 486 nt
Filed under: uncultured bacterium
Lineage: Bacteria
Description: bacterial SSU rRNA
Rfam family: Bacterial small subunit ribosomal RNA
Source: RNAcentral
AGUGAACGCUGGCGGCAGGCCUAAUACAUGCAAGUCGAACGGCAGCACAGUGGAGCUUGCUCCAUGGGUGGCGAGUGGCGGACGGGUGAGGAAUACAUGGGAAUCUGCCCAGUCGUGGGGGAUAACGUAGGGAAACUUACGCUAAUACCGCAUGCGCCCUUCGGGGAAAGCCGGGACCGUAAGGCCUGGCGCGAUUGGAUGAGCCCAUGUCGGAUUAGCUAGUUGGCGGGGUAACGGCCCACCAAGGCGACGAUCCGUAGCUGGUCUGAGAGGAUGAUCAGCCACACUGGAACUGAGACACGGUCCAGACUCCUACGGGAGGCAGCAGUAGGGAAUAUUGGACAAUGGGCGCAAGCCUGAUCCAGCCAUGCCGCGUGAGUGAAGAAGGCCCUCGGGUUGUAAAGCUCUUUUGUCCGGAAAGAAAAGCACUGGGUUAAUACCCCGGUGUCCUGACGGUACCCAAAGAAUAAGCACCGGCUAACUUCG